Long non-coding RNA from Pogona vitticeps (central bearded dragon), 3334 nucleotides. Ensembl annotates it as ly6/PLAUR domain-containing protein 3-like. NCBI's taxonomy places the organism in Eukaryota, Metazoa, Chordata, Lepidosauria, Squamata, Agamidae. The record is from Ensembl.
GCAUUACUGGUUCUAAGCUUGGGUUUCAGAAGGAUCAAGAGCAGGCACCCAAGCAAUCUAGCAAUCAAGGAGAGCUCAGUAUGUAGAGCUGCAGUUCAAAUUUUGGGGUUGAAUACAGUAGUAUCAACUCUUAGCAUAGGGCAGACAAUGGAAAUAUACUAUGAUUCUCCUCUAGAGUAAGACCUGUGGGCAUCCACUCAGACAAGGAGGCAGGGCAGGGAAAGCCUGUCUGAAAAGAAAAGAAAUGUCUUUAUCUGCUUGUAGGAGAACAGCAGCAAAGUCGGGGCGAGCCUGACUUCCAGUGGGAGAGAGUUCCGCAGUCUGGAAGCAGAGACAAAGAAAGCCCUCUCCUGUGUCCCUACCAAACACACCUGUGAAGGUAGUGGGACCAAGAGGAAGGCUUCCCAUUGGUGAUCUUAACACCUGAGCAGGCUCAUAAAGGGAGACACAGUCCCAUAGCUUGGGAAAUGGAUCGGCAGUCGGUGGAGGGAGGAAUUAUGUGAUUCCUCUAAUACCUCCAGUUAACUCGGUAGCCAGUAUCCUGAUGUUUGGGGUCUGCUUCCCCUUGCUACCACAACAACGAUUGGGCCAUUUCUCUUCCUUCCUCAGGAAACCAAUGCUUGUAUAAUCUUGCUGGAACAUUUGCACACAUGAUAAAUAACCAAGCUCACUCUUCGAUCGCAGAUCUUUUUGCUCUUCAAUUUUUUUCUUGGCUUAUAGUCCACAGGAUGGCGAGCCCUGCGCUGAGAUGCAAGGCCGCAACAGGAUUCCUGACGAUGAUCUUUCUUCUUCCAGGAACGUAUGCCUUGGAAUGUUAUACAUUUACCUCCUUUCAGCAGUUUGAUUCUAAGGGCAGGUGUGGAUUUGAGCACGCCACCGUCGCCCGUAAUUCGACCUGUUCCUCUGGCAAUGAUGUUUGCCUAAGCGCGGAAUUUGAACUCGGCACCGAUGAAAACACUCUGCUGGUAAGCUAUAGAGGCUGCUUCGCUAAGAAUCCUAGAGAUGCAGAAGGAGCAACUAUUUUUGGCCACCAAUACUUUGCCAUCCAAUCCAACCUCAGCUAUUGCUACCAGGACUUUUGCAACAUCAGAUCAGCCUCUGCAGAGUUUCCAAAAACUACCAGCAAGGGCACAGAAGCGUCUCAUCCAAAUGGCUCCAUCCAUUGCUAUUCUGGCCAAAACCACAACGCCUCUGAACUCACCUUGGAGAAAGUGGCUUGCAGCAACCGCUCUGACCUUUGCUACCAAGGCCGUCAUGCCAUCAAAGUUGGAAACACCACUCAGGUCUUCUACAUCAGGAGCUGCCAGAACCCUUCUUGUGAUGUACCUAAGCACCGCGUCUUUGGUCCUGUGGAACUCGAAUUCCUGGAAGGCUCCUGCUGCUCUGGAAGCAAUUGCAAUGGGAAAAAAGGCACAUCUGAGGUCUCAAAUGACAUCAUAUCAGGGCCCACAGGUGGCCCUUAUGGUGGAGGUGCUGGCAGUCCCACCACCAAUUUCACUGACUCAGACGGAACCUCCAAGGAGGAUUCCGACUAUGAUACUGAGAGUGAUGAUGACACCGUAUCUGAAAAAACGCCCAAUUCCCCAAUUCAUCCACGAGCCCCUGGGCCAAAAUCCAAAGGGUCUUCCUUUCAAUUCUGCCCCCUACUGUUAGCCAUUGGAAUGACAGUCAUUGAGCUAGGCUGGUGAGAAAUGAGCUGGAAGGGUGUCUUUUUGUUUCGAUGUUCUGUCCUCAGUUUUGGAAAGUGGUGUGUUUCAUGGGGGGGGAGGAACAUGGGAGGGUUACCUUUAAGGUAUGAAAGAUACCCAUGGGGCAAUAAUCAGAACCUGGAAAUAACACAUCAUACAUAAUCACCUACGUAUAAUUAAUUCCUUUUAUGCAACAACAUAGAUAACAUUCUCUGUAGCUCUGUAGUGCAACAGCAAAAAGAUUCUUCUAUCCUUUUUGCUGUGGAAGUGCAACUGAUUUACUUCUAUAGUUACGUGGGUGGGUUUUCGGUAUCUUUUGCAGCAUCAAACAACUAUUUGUCACACCUUGAUUUUUUUAUUUUUUUAAAAAGCAAAACAAUUAAUGCAAUUGCAUCAGUUAGGUUUGAAUAAUAAGGAAACAAUUAGUUGACAUUGACUUUGUGGUAGUCCCAAGUCCUUCAUUAGGUAACUGGAAGUAAGUCUUAUUUUCUUUUCAAGUUCCAACUGGGAUACAGGCAUCUAUCUGAGGUCAGAAGCUUCAGCUGGGCUUUACUUUGGCUUCCUUAUUUUCUUUCCAUAAAAGUUCCGCCUCAGCAGGAAACAUGAUCGGAUCACUGAAACAUCAACAUAGGUGGAUGGAAGCAAAGUCACCCCUGUUCCUACCAGCUUUGAUACAUUGGUUGCCUACCUACUCGUUUCUAGGCAUAAUUUAAAUAGCUCAUGAUGACUUAGUAAAAUCUAGAUUCGGAGUGGACAACUCCAUGGCGCUGCGGGGUACAGUGUCCCCCCUCCUCCACCAGGAUGACAAUGUAUCAGGGCCUGUCAGGAUCUCUUACAUUGCUGUGAAAUUUGGCAGUAGCUACUCGUUUUAUUACUGUUUUUCCAGCCCUUUGCUCCCCAAAUUUGCUCUCCGGUUUUAACAGACCUGACCAGAUACCGUCGUGCCUCGCUUUACGAUUGCCCCGUAUAACGACGAAUCCGCUUAACAAUGCCUUUUUUGCAAUCGCAAAAGAGAUUGAAAAACGAUGCUUCCUAUGGACAAAAUCCUGCUUCAGGAACCGAUUUUUUGCAUUAUGACGAUCAGCAAAAAGCUGAUCGUCAGGUUCAAAAAUGGCCACCGUCUGAAGAAAAUGGCACCCUGCUGUUUUCUAGGACAGAUUCCUCGCUAGACAGGCACCGAAAAUGGCCGCCGUAUGGAGGAUCCUCGCUGGACGGUGAGUUUUUAGCCCAUUGGAACACAUUAACCAGGUUUUAUUUUCGCUUUAUGAUGUUUUCGCUCUGCAACGAUUUCAGUGCAACGAAUUAACAUUGUUAAGCGAGGCACCACUGCAUUUGGGAAGUCAAGGUUACAGACAAGGAUGUAGUAACUGAUUCAACCAUUAGAGGGCAAGGUCAUCCCACCAUCUUCUCCAUAGGCAAGUCAGAUGGUCUGUCCAGAUCUCUAGUUAUUAACUAAGUUUGAAAAAGUUACUUUUUAGGAACUAGUACUCUCAACAUCAACCAGCUUAGCUGGGAUUUGUAUUUCAGAAACUUUUCCCAGUUCUGAUUAUUAGGCCUAAAUAUACCAUGGAGUGAUGUAUUUUUGAUUCAUUUCAAUACAAUAUUUUAUUUUUAAUAAAAUGCACACACACUACUGAUUUAUUACA